Molecule: non-coding RNA, 184 nt
Filed under: Nitrospinae bacterium CG22_combo_CG10-13_8_21_14_all_47_10
Lineage: Bacteria; Pseudomonadati; Nitrospinota
Description: 6S RNA
Rfam family: 6S / SsrS RNA
About the family: E. coli 6S RNA was the first non coding RNA to be sequenced, but its function was unknown until recently.
Source: RNAcentral
GUCUCCCUGUUGUGUUCGGGUAAAAAUUUAAUUUCUUGAGCCAACAGUUUGUAAAAGGGGUUGAUGGAUCGACUGUGGUGUGCAAACCCUCGUAAUAGAGGGGAGCCUAAAACAGUUCACGGAUGCCCCACCUGUCCUUGACAGGUUCAAAAAAUAGUUUUUGCGCGGCAUGAACGGGGAGACU